UACCAGCACCCCGAGUGGUCGGGACGUUUAUUGGGCCUAAAGCAUCCGUAGCCGGUUCUACAAGUCUUCCGUUAAAUCCAGCUGCUUAACAGAUGGGCUGCGGAAGAUACUAUGGAAGCUAGGAGGCGGGAGAGGCAAGCGGUACUCGAUGGGUAGGGGUAAAAUCCGUUGAAUCCAUUGAAGACCACCAGUGGCGAAGGCGGCGUUGCCAGAACGCGCUCGACGGUGAGGGAUGAAAGCUGGGGGAGCAAACCGGG
Molecule: ribosomal RNA, 257 nt
Filed under: uncultured bacterium
Lineage: Bacteria
Description: partial 16S ribosomal RNA
Rfam family: Archaeal small subunit ribosomal RNA
Source: RNAcentral